Molecule: ribosomal RNA, 478 nt
Filed under: uncultured Geobacter sp.
Lineage: Bacteria; Pseudomonadati; Thermodesulfobacteriota; Desulfuromonadia; Geobacterales; Geobacteraceae
Description: bacterial SSU rRNA
Rfam family: Bacterial small subunit ribosomal RNA
Source: RNAcentral
GAUCCAGAGCUUGCUCUGGUGAGAGUGGCGCACGGGUGAGUAACGCGUGGAUAACCUGCCCUGGUAUCUGGAAUAACAUCUCGAAAGGGGUGCUAAUACCGGAUAAGCCUACGGAGCCCUCGGUCUCUGCAGGAAAAGGUGGCCUCUAUUUAUAAGCUACCGUAUCAGGAUGGGUCCGCGUACCAUUAGCUAGUUGGUAGGGUAAUGGCCUACCAAGGCUACGAUGGUUAGCUGGUCUGAGAGGAUGAUCAGCCACACUGGAACUGAGACACGGUCCAGACUCCUACGGGAGGCAGCAGUGGGGAAUUUUGCGCAAUGGGGGAAACCCUGACGCAGCAACGCCGCGUGAGUGAUGAAGGCUUUCGGGUCGUAAAGCUCUGUCAGAAGGGAAGAAAUGGGGCUGGCUAAUAUCCAGUUUCCUUGACGGUACCUUCAAAGGAAGCACCGGCUAACUCCGUGCCAGCAGCCGCGGUAAUAC